GAUCCAAAAGCUAUUAAAGUCA
RNAcentral lists this microRNA (22 nucleotides) under Chrysemys picta bellii (western painted turtle). RNAcentral's name for it is "Cpi-Mir-1677-P2_5p* (star (passenger))". Lineage: Eukaryota; Metazoa; Chordata; Testudines; Emydidae. The record is from RNAcentral.